Molecule: ribosomal RNA, 253 nt
Filed under: uncultured bacterium
Lineage: Bacteria
Description: partial 16S ribosomal RNA
Rfam family: Bacterial small subunit ribosomal RNA
Source: RNAcentral
CACGGGGGGAGCAAGCGUUGUUCGGAAUCACUGGGCGUAAAGGGCGUGUAGGCGGUCUGGUAAGUGGGAUGUGAAAGCCCCCGGCUCACCCGGGGAUCUGCAUUCCAUACUGCCAGACUUGAGUAUGGGAGAGGACAGGGGAAUUCCUGGUGUAGCGGUGAAAUGCGUAGAUAUCAGGAGGAACACCGGUGGCGAAGGCGCCUGUCUGGCCCAAUACUGACGCUGAGGAGCGAAAGCCAGGGGAGCAAACGGG